AUUAGAUUAGAUAACGUCACAAAUUAAUACAAAGCCUAGUUGAUUUCCACCGACCGUCUGAAUGGUUUACACGUGUUGUUGCAGAAUUACGGUAAUCCAUUUUGAAUGGUGUCCACCGUCUAGCCUAGGCACCACAUCUACAAACAAAUUAAUUGAAAUCAUUUUAAUUAAAAACAUACAUACCCCGUAUACAAAUAAUUAUUCAUUAUAAUAAGAUGGAGAAAUAUAACGACGGUGGCUGCUGCCAUCACGUCACCUUCAUAGACCAAGAUGGUCACCGGAAAACCUCAACAGUGCCGGUGGUCCAAGAACUUGCCCGCCAAGGGCUAACCCAAUUGCCGGAGAGGUUCAUACGUGCCCCCUCUAAGAAGAACCCAAUUGACGAUGACUCCCAC
RNAcentral lists this long non-coding RNA (395 nucleotides) under Citrus x clementina. Its description in RNAcentral is "Citrus clementina (C. clementina) long non-coding RNA (CCLE_LNC000736)". The record is from RNAcentral. Lineage: Eukaryota; Viridiplantae; Streptophyta; Magnoliopsida; Sapindales; Rutaceae.